GAUGAACGCUGGCGGCGUGCCUAAUACAUGCAAGUCGAGCGAACAGACGAGGAGUUUGCUCCUUUGACGUUUGCGGCGGACGGGUGAGUAACACGUAGGUAACCUAUCUAUAAGACUGGGAUAACUUCGGGAAACCGGAGCUAAUACCGGAACAUAAUUCGAACCGCAAGAUUUGCUAGUGAAAGAUGGCUUUGCUAUCACUUAUAGAUGGACCUGCGCCGUAUUUGCUAGUUGGUAAGGUAACGGCUUACCAAGGCAACGAUAAGUAGCCGACCUGGGAGGUGGAUCGGCCACACUGGAACUGGAACACGGUCCGGACUCCUACGGGAGGAAGCAGUAGGGAAUCUUCCGCAAGGGGCGAAAGCCUGACGGAGCAACGCCGCGUGAGUGAUGAAGGUCUUCGGAUCGUAAGACUCUGUUAUUAGGGAGGAACAAUCGUGUAGGUAACUGUGCACGCCGUGACGGUACCUUAUCAGAAAGCCACGGCUAACUACGUG
Molecule: ribosomal RNA, 497 nt
Filed under: uncultured bacterium
Lineage: Bacteria
Description: partial 16S ribosomal RNA
Rfam family: Bacterial small subunit ribosomal RNA
Source: RNAcentral